This 201-nucleotide unclassified non-coding RNA is filed under the name Hevea brasiliensis (rubber tree). The record is from RNAcentral. Lineage: Eukaryota; Viridiplantae; Streptophyta; Magnoliopsida; Malpighiales; Euphorbiaceae.
CUCUCUCUCUCUCUCUCUCAUGUGCAUGCAUGCUUACUCACACUUGCUUGUAUGCAGCACAUCUGCUUGUAUUGCAGUUUUCAUUUUUGCUUUUUUCCCAGUACCUUACAGUUUCUGCUAAUGGAAAUUUCAUUCAAAAUUUAAAAGGUCUAUUUAGAGAGAAUUUUGAGAAAACCGGAAAUUGAUGCAUUUGCUGAAGAA